This 102-nucleotide ribosomal RNA is filed under the name Oncidium vulcanicum. RNAcentral describes it as "partial 18S ribosomal RNA". It matches the Rfam family "Eukaryotic small subunit ribosomal RNA", at positions 1730 to 1831 of the family's 1831-position model. Lineage: Eukaryota; Viridiplantae; Streptophyta; Magnoliopsida; Asparagales; Orchidaceae. The record is from RNAcentral.
UCGCCGCCCGCCCCUCGGCGAAAAGUCCAUUGAACCUUAUCAUUUAGAGGAAGGAGAAGUCGUCCCCGUGUUUCCGUAGGUGAACCUGCGGAAGGAUCAUUG